This 808-nucleotide ribosomal RNA is filed under the name uncultured archaeon. RNAcentral's name for it is "bacterial SSU rRNA". It matches the Rfam family "Archaeal small subunit ribosomal RNA", at positions 85 to 876 of the family's 1478-position model. The record is from RNAcentral.
ACGGCUCAGUAACACGUGGCUAACCUACCCUUGAGACGGAGACAUCCCCGGGAAACUGGGGCUAAUCCCAGAUAGAUGAGAACUCCUGGAAUGGGUUCUCGUCCAAAAGGCAUUGAGAUCAUGCUUCUUGAUGUCGCUCAAGGAUGGGGCCGCGGCCGAUCAGGCUGUUGGUGAGGUAACGGCUCACCAAACCUAUAACCGGUACGGGCCGUGGGAGCGGGAGCCCGGAGAUGGGAACUGAGACAAGGUCCCAGGCCCUACGGGGCGCAGCAGUUGCGAAAACUCCGCAAUGCACGAAAGUGUGACGGGGCUACCCCGAGUGCUGUCCGCUGAGGAUGGCUUUUCCCUGGUGUAAGGAGCCGGGGGAAUAAGGAGAGGGCAAGUCUGGUGUCAGCCGCCGCGGUAAUACCAGCUCUCCGAGUGGUAGGGAUGUUUAUUGGGCUUAAAGCGUCCGUAGCUGGCUUUUUAAGUCUCUCGUUAAAUCCAGCGAUUCAAUCGUUGGACUGCGGGGGAUACUGCUAGGCUUGGGGGCGGGAGAAGCCGACGGUAUUUCCGGUGUAGGGGUAAAAUCCUAUAAUCCCGGGAGGACCACCAGUGGCGUAGGCGGUCGGCUAGCACGCGCCCGACGGUGAGGGACGAAAGCUGGGGGAGCAAACCGGAUUAGAUACCCGGAUAGUCCCAGCUGUAAACGAUGCGAGCUAGGUGUUGAAGCGGUCACGAGCCGCUUCAGUGCCGCAGGGAAGCCAUUAAGCUCGCCGCCUGGGGAGUACGGCCGCAAGGCUGAAACUUAAAGGAAUUGGCGGGGGAG